UACGGGGGGGGCAAGCGUUGUUCGGAAUUACUGGGCGUAAAGGGCGCGUAGGCGGGUGGACAAGUCUCUCGUGAAAGCCCACGGCUCAACCGUGGAAAUGCGGGAGAUACUGUCUGUCUUGAGUCCGGGAGAGGAGGGUGGAAUUCCCAGUGUAGCGGUGAAAGGCGUAGAUAUUGGGAGGAACACCGGUGGCGAAGGCGGCUCUCUGGAUCGGUACUGAAGCUGAGGCGCGAAAGCUAGGGUAGCAAACGCG
Molecule: ribosomal RNA, 253 nt
Filed under: uncultured bacterium
Lineage: Bacteria
Description: partial 16S ribosomal RNA
Rfam family: Bacterial small subunit ribosomal RNA
Source: RNAcentral